CCUACGGGAGGCAGCAGUGGGGAAUAUUGCACAAUGGGGGAAACCCUGAUGCAGCGACGCCGCGUGAGUGAAGAAGUAUUUCGGUAUGUAAAGCCCUAUCAGCCGGGGAGCAGAAGUGACGAUACCUGAGUAAGAGGCACCAGCUAAAUACGUGCCAGCAGCCGCCGUCAUACGUAGGGUGCAGGCGUUAUCCGGAUUUACUGGGUGUAAAGGGAGCGCAGGGGGGACGGGCAGCGUAAUGGGAAAGCCCGGGUGCCAACCGCAGGACUGCCUUUGAAACUAGCGGGCUGGAGUGGCGGAGAGGUAGGCGGAAUGCGUGGUGUAGCGGUGAAAUGCAUAGAUAUUAGGAGGAACACCGGUGGCGAAGGCAGCAUACUGG
RNAcentral lists this ribosomal RNA (379 nucleotides) under uncultured bacterium. Its description in RNAcentral is "partial 16S ribosomal RNA". It matches the Rfam family "Bacterial small subunit ribosomal RNA", at positions 338 to 732 of the family's 1533-position model. The record is from RNAcentral.